GUAGAGAGAGAGAGACACAGUAGAGAGAGAGAGACAGUAGAGAGAAGAGAGAGAGAGAGAGAGAGACAGUAGAGAGAGACAGUAGAGAGAGAGAGACAAGAGAGAGACAGUAGAGAGAGAGAGACAGUAGAGAGAGAGAGACAGUAGAGAGAGAGAGAGACAGUAGAGAGAGAGAGAGAGAGAGAGAGACAGUAGAGAGAGAGAGACAAGAGAGAGAGAGAGACAGUAGAGAGAGAGACAGUAGAGAGAGAGAGAGAGACAGUAGAGAGAGAGAGAGAGAGAGAGAGAGACAGUAGAGAGAGAGAGACAGUAGAGAGAGAGAGAGAGACAGUAGAGAGAGAGAGAGAGAGAGAGAGAGAGAGAGAGAGAGAAGAGAGAGAGAGAGAGACAGUAGAGUGAGAGAGACAGUAGAGAGAGACAGUAGAGAGAGAGAGAGACAGUAGAGAGAGAGACAGUAGAGACAGUAGAGAGAGA
This 474-nucleotide long non-coding RNA is filed under the name Salmo salar (Atlantic salmon). Its description in RNAcentral is "lncRNA (ENSSSAG00000100151.1)". The record is from RNAcentral. Lineage: Eukaryota; Metazoa; Chordata; Actinopteri; Salmoniformes; Salmonidae.